GGGCUGGUAGUUCAGUGGUAGAACACCGGGUUGGCGAACGCUUGGUGUCAUUCUAGGCGCCCAUUUUCGUUUCUUUCUUCCCGGAGACCUGGCGUUCGAUUCCCAGCUGGCCGA
Non-coding RNA from Periconia macrospinosa, 114 nucleotides. The record is from the annotation of a GenBank genome assembly. Lineage: Eukaryota; Fungi; Ascomycota; Dothideomycetes; Pleosporales; Periconiaceae.